AAACCCGAUCGGCAGGGGUGGUGUGCCCGAUCGUGGUCGGGAUACCCGAGCGCUUACACAAUGGAGUGACCAAGGAAAACAGAACUGCGGGUGUGUUGGAUAACUUUAAGGAGGGUGAAAAAUAUGUGGAACACAUCGUAAGGAGAUUUGUACGCAACAAGUCUCCCGAGAUAAUGCCAUCCAUCAACUCUUUCUUUGCAGACCCAAAAUGAAGUACCUAGUUUUCUGAUUCAAGAUCAACCAUAUGCAUAUUGGUUGUCACAUUCACAUAUAUAUAUACUAGUAGUUUGAUCUUGAGAUUCAUUCAAGGUUAAUUUAUAAACAAAAUGUUGUCAGUGAAAUUUUUUGAAUUAAGAACAAUGCAAAUUUACUGUGGAUUA
This is a long non-coding RNA of Erigeron canadensis, 380 nucleotides long. RefSeq lists it as uncharacterized. The transcript has 2 exons. The record is from RefSeq and is a predicted model, not a curated record. Lineage: Eukaryota; Viridiplantae; Streptophyta; Magnoliopsida; Asterales; Asteraceae.